CCUUUAGAUGUUCUGGGCCGCACGCGCGCUACACUGAUGCAUUCAACGAGUUUCUUCCUGGUCCGAGAGGAAUGGGUAACCUUUUGAAAGUGCAUCGUGAUAGGGAUAGACUAUUGCAAUUAUUGGUCUUCAACGAGGAAUUCCUAGUAGACGUAGUUCAUCAGACUGCAUCGAUUACGUCCCUGCCCUUUGUACACACCGCCCGUCGCUCCUACCGAUUGAAUGCUCAGGUGAGCCAUUCGGACUUUCAUCAUGCUGGUCUCCAGUUUUGAUGAAGGAAAGUCUUGCGAACCUUAUCAUUUAGAGGAAGGAGAAGUCGUAACA
Molecule: ribosomal RNA, 324 nt
Filed under: uncultured eukaryote
Lineage: Eukaryota
Description: partial 18S ribosomal RNA
Rfam family: Eukaryotic small subunit ribosomal RNA
Source: RNAcentral